Molecule: transfer RNA, 88 nt
Filed under: Hyaloperonospora arabidopsidis Emoy2
Lineage: Eukaryota; Oomycota; Peronosporomycetes; Peronosporales; Peronosporaceae
Description: Hyaloperonospora arabidopsidis tRNA-Ser for anticodon GCU
Rfam family: tRNA
About the family: Transfer RNA (tRNA) molecules are approximately 80 nucleotides in length. Their secondary structure includes four short double-helical elements and three loops (D, anti-codon, and T loops).
Source: Rfam by way of RNAcentral
GGGUUGGUGGCUGAGAGGCUGAAGGCGUUGAUUUGCUAAAUCAAAGGUAGGCAAUCCCUACUCGUAGGUUCGAAUCCUAUCCAGCCCA